RNAcentral lists this unclassified non-coding RNA (189 nucleotides) under fungal sp. Its description in RNAcentral is "partial contains small subunit ribosomal RNA, internal transcribed spacer 1, and 5.8S ribosomal RNA". The stretch from base 1 to 46 matches the Rfam family "Eukaryotic small subunit ribosomal RNA", at positions 1786 to 1831 of the family's 1831-position model. Lineage: Eukaryota; Fungi. The record is from RNAcentral.
AAGUCGUAACAAGGUUUCCGUAGGUGAACCUGCGGAAGGAUCAUUACCGAUGUUUAGUUAUAAAGCUGAAUUACUUUUUGUGCACCGUAUAUUUCUUGCUUUUCAACUUUGUCUGACGAAAACAUCGUUCCAAACGAGAACGUGAAUAAUAAUAAAAUACAACUUUUAACAAUGGAUCUCUUGGCUCUC